Molecule: unclassified non-coding RNA, 341 nt
Filed under: soil metagenome
Description: partial contains 5.8S ribosomal RNA, internal transcribed spacer 2, and large subunit ribosomal RNA
Rfam family: 5.8S ribosomal RNA (bases 1-120)
Source: RNAcentral
GAUGAAGAACGUAGCGAAAUGCGAUAAGUAGUGUGAAUUGCAGAAUUCAGUGAAUCAUCGAAUCUUUGAACGCACAUUGCGCCCUUUGGUAUUCCAAAGGGCAUGCCUGUUCGAGCGUCAUUUGUACCCUCAAGCUUUGCUUGGUGUUGGGCGUCUUGUCUCUAGCUUUGCUGGAGACUCGCCUUAAAGUAAUUGGCAGCCGGCCUACUGGUUUCGGAGCGCAGCACAAGUCGCACUCUCUAUCAGCAAAGGUCUAGCAUCCAUUUAGCCUUUUUUUCAACUUUUGACCUCGGAUCAGGUAGGGAUACCCGCUGAACUUAAGCAUAUCAAUAAGCGGAGGA